UACAGAGGUCUCGAGCGUUAGGCGGAAUCACUGGGCUUAAAGCGUGUGUAGGCGGAUCGUUAAGUACCUUGUGAAAUCCCACGGCUUAACCGUGGAACUGCUUGGUGUACUGGCGGUCUUGAGCCAGCUAGGGGCUACCGGAACAAAUGGUGGAGCGGUGAAAUGCGUAGAUAUCAUUUGGAACGCCAAUGGUGAAAACAGGUAGCUGGGGGUGUGCUGACGCUGAGACACGAAAGCCAGGGGAGCAAACGGG
Molecule: ribosomal RNA, 253 nt
Filed under: uncultured bacterium
Lineage: Bacteria
Description: partial 16S ribosomal RNA
Rfam family: Bacterial small subunit ribosomal RNA
Source: RNAcentral